This 305-nucleotide ribosomal RNA is filed under the name uncultured bacterium. Its description in RNAcentral is "bacterial SSU rRNA". It matches the Rfam family "Bacterial small subunit ribosomal RNA", at positions 332 to 635 of the family's 1533-position model. The record is from RNAcentral.
UUGACUUACGGGGGGCAGCAGUGAGGAAUAUUGGUCAAUGGGCGGAAGCCUGAACCAGCCAAGUCGCGUGAGGGAAGAAGGCCCUGCGGGUCGCAGACCUCUUUGGACGGGGAGCAAGGCCGCCGACGUGUCGGCGGAAGGAGAGUACCCGUAGAACAAGCAUCGGCUAACUCCGUGCCAGCAGCCGCGGUAAUACGGAGGAUGCGAGCGUUAUCCGGAUUUAUUGGGUUUAAAGGGAGCGUAGAUGGGUUGUUAAGUCAGUUGUGAAAGUUUGCGGCUCAACCGUAAAAUUGCAAUUGAUACUG